UCCCUGCUGGUUCAGUGGCUAAGACUCUGUGCUCCUAAUGCAGGGGACCUGGGUUCAAUCCCGGGUCAGGGAA
Molecule: non-coding RNA, 73 nt
Organism: Bos taurus (domestic cattle)
Lineage: Eukaryota; Metazoa; Chordata; Mammalia; Artiodactyla; Bovidae
Source: Rfam